CCCUAUGCUGCCAAGAAAAUCUUCUAGCGAGGUUCGAGCCGCCCGUACCCCAAACCGACUCAGGUGGUUAGGUAGAGAAUACCAAGGCGAUCGAGUGAAUCGUGGUUAAGGAAUUCGGCAAAAUGCCCCCGUAACUUCGGGAGAAGGGGGGCCCGGAACCUGAAGUGACUUGCUCACUAGGGUGAAGGGCCGCAGAGACCAGGGAGAAGCGACUGUUUACUAAAAACACAGGUCCGUGCGAAGUCGCAAGACGAUGUAUACGGACUGACGCCUGCCCGGUGCUGGAAGGUUAAGAGGACCGGUUAGACCGUAAGGUCGAAGCUGAGAAUUUAAGCCCCAGUAAACGGCGGUGGUAACUAUAACCAUCCUAAGGUAGCGAAAUUCCUUGUCGGGUAAGUUCCGACCUGCACGAAUGGCGUAACGACUUCUCCACUGUCUCAACCGCGAACUCGGCGAAAUUGCACUACGAGUAAAGAUGCUCGUUACGCGCAGCAGGACGGAAAGACCCCGGGACCUUUACUAUAGCUUGGUAUUGGUGUUCGGUACGGCUUGUGUAGGAUAGGUGGGAGACUGUGAAGCAUGCACGCCAGUGUGUGUGGAGUCAACGUUGAAAUACCACUCUGGUCUUUCUGGAUAUCUAACCUCGGUCCGUGAUCCGGAUCAGGGACAGUGCCUGGUGGGUAGUUUAACUGGGGCGGUUGCCUCCUAAAAGGUAACGGAGGCGCUCAAAGGUUCCCUCAGCCUGGUUGGCAAUCAGGUUUCGAGUGUAAGUGCACAAGGGAGCUUGACUGCGAGAGAGACAUCUCGAGCAGGGACGAAAGUCGGAACUAGUGACCCGGCGGUGGCUUGUGGAAGCGCCGUCGCUCAACGGAUAAAAGGUACCCCGGGGAUAACAGGCUGAUCUUGCCCAAGAGUCCAUAUCGACGGCAUGGUUUGGCACCUCGAUGUCGGCUCGUCGCAUCCUGGGGGUGGAGUUGCUCCCAAGGGUUGGGCUGUUCGCCCAUUAAAGCGGUACGCGAGCUGGGUUUAGAACGUCGUGAGACAGUUCGGUCCCUAUCCGCUGUGCGCGUAGGAAACUUGAGAAGGGCUGACCCUAGUACGAGAGGACCGGGUUGGACGAACCUCUGGUGUGUCAGUUGUCCUGCCAAGGGCACCGCUGAUUAGCUACGUUCGGAAGUGAUAACCGCUGAAAGCAUCUAUGCGGGAAGCACGCUUCAAGAUGAGGUUUCCAUGCACCGUUAGGUGUGAGAGGCUCCCGGCUAGACUACCGGGUUGAUAGGCCAGACGUGGAAGUGCAGCAAUGCAUGUAGCUGACUGGUACUAAUAAGCCGACAACUUG
Molecule: ribosomal RNA, 1339 nt
Filed under: metagenome
Description: bacterial LSU rRNA
Rfam family: Bacterial large subunit ribosomal RNA
Source: RNAcentral